Molecule: ribosomal RNA, 458 nt
Filed under: uncultured bacterium
Lineage: Bacteria
Description: partial 16S ribosomal RNA
Rfam family: Bacterial small subunit ribosomal RNA
Source: RNAcentral
CCUACGGGAGGCUGCAGUGGGGAAUAUUGCACAAUGGGGGAAACCCUGAUGCAGCGACGCCGCGUGAGUGAAGAAGUAAUUCGUUACGUAAAGCUCUAUCAGCAGGGAAGAAACACUGACCUUACGGUCAGCAGACGGUACCUGAGUAAGAAGCCCCGGCUAACUACGUGCCAGCAGCCGCGGUAAUACGUAGGGGGCAAGCGUUGUCCGGAUUUACUGGGCGUAAAGGGAGCGUAGGCGGCCUGCCAAGUCUGCUGUGAAAUACCGUGGCUGAACCCCGGGGCUGCAUUGGAAACUGGCAGGCUGGAGUGACGGAGAGGCAGGCGGAAUUCCUAGUGUAGCGGUGAAAUGCGUAGAUAUUAGGAGGAACACCAGUGGCGAAGGCGGCCUGCUGGACGGUGACUGACGCUGAGGCUCGAAAGCGUGGGGAGCAAACAGGAUUAGAUACCCGGGUAGUC